AAGCGCAGGCCACAUGCACGGACGCCGUCACCAUACUCGUUCCCCCUCUCUCCCUACCCGUCAGCAGUGCUGCAACGCCGCAGCCACAAUCUUUCCCCUCUUCCUUACCCGUCUCCAUUCCUGUCCACGCGCCGUGUCCCCGAUGCGCAGUUUUUGAACACAUCGACCAGUGUGUGGACCGUGUUGGCUAUAUCUAAGGGUGAAUGCAAGGUGGAUAAAAUAGUGAAUGUCACAACGAGAAGAGCUUUGUUUCGCAGAAGUUAUGUCGAAGACAAUAAAAGCAACAAUACCCUAAAAAUUAGAGGUAAAUUUUUGAAUCGGACGCGGAAGCCUGGCCCGAAUAGUAUGAAUCUCUCUUCAAAUCACGUACCUUUGGGAAUAGAACUAUUAGUGAAGGAAGAUGCGAAAGAAACGUGCGGUAUAUUUCUCACAGCACCUGUGGAAUCACGUGGAGGUAAGUA
Long non-coding RNA from Dermacentor silvarum, 461 nucleotides. RefSeq lists it as uncharacterized. The transcript is spliced from 4 exons. Lineage: Eukaryota; Metazoa; Arthropoda; Arachnida; Ixodida; Ixodidae. The record is from RefSeq and is a predicted model, not a curated record.